This 600-nucleotide ribosomal RNA is filed under the name Pertusaria quartans. Its description in RNAcentral is "SSU rRNA". It matches the Rfam family "Bacterial small subunit ribosomal RNA", at positions 429 to 1090 of the family's 1533-position model. Lineage: Eukaryota; Fungi; Ascomycota; Lecanoromycetes; Pertusariales; Pertusariaceae. The record is from RNAcentral.
UCGACUCUGUCGAAUAAAGUUCUAGUUAAGUUUUGAUAAUGACAUUUCUUAACUAUGUGUCUUGACCAAAUCACGUGCCAGCAGUCGCGGUAAGACGUGGAAGACUAGUGUUAUUCAUCUUUAACAGGUUUAAAGGGUACCUAGACGGUAAAUCAAGCCCCAAAAGGGUACUAAUUUACUAGAGUUUAAUAAGAGAGGGGGAGUACUGAUGAGUGGAGAGAUGAAAUUUUAUGAUACCAUUAGGAACAGACAAAGGCGAAAGCGACCUUUUACAUAAAAACUGACGUUGAGGGACGAAGGCUUUAGUCGUGAACAGGAUUAGAUACCCAAGUAAUUAAAGCAGACAAUGAUGAAUGUCAUAGAUUAGAGAUUCGUAUUAAUCUAUAAAUGAAAGUGUAAGCAUUCCACCUCAAGAGUAAUGUGGCAACGCAGAAACUGAAAUCAUUAGACCGUUUCUGAAACCAGUAGUGAAGUAUGUUGUUUAAUUAGAUAAUCCGCAAAAGACCUCACCACAAUUUGAAUAUUAUUAAUAUCUUUUUAAUAAUACAAGCGUUGCACGGCUGUCUUCAGUUAAUGUCGUGAGAUUAGGUUAGUUCCAUU